This 499-nucleotide ribosomal RNA is filed under the name uncultured bacterium. Its description in RNAcentral is "partial 16S ribosomal RNA". It matches the Rfam family "Bacterial small subunit ribosomal RNA", at positions 28 to 507 of the family's 1533-position model. The record is from RNAcentral.
GACGAACGCUGGCGGCGUGCCUAAUACAUGCAAGUCGAGCGAAGUUUUUCUGGUGCUUGCACCGGAAAAACUUAGCGGCGCACGGGUGAGUAACACGUAAAGAACCUGCCUCAUAGACUGGGACAACUAUUGGAAACGAUAGCUAAUACCGGAUAAUAGCAUUAACUGCAUGGUUGAUGUUUAAAAGUUGGUUUUGCUAACACUAUGAGAUGGCUUUGCGGUGCAUUAGCUAGUUGGUGGGGUAAAGGCCUACCAAGGCGACGAUGCAUAGCCGACCUGAGAGGGUGAUCGGCCACACUGGGACUGAGACACGGCCCAGACUCCUACGGGAGGCAGCAGUAGGGAAUCUUCCGCAAUGGGCGAAAGCCUGACGGAGCAACGCCGCGUGAGUGAAGAAGGAUUUCGGUUCGUAAAGCUCUGUUGUUAGGGAAGAAUGAUUGUGUAGUAACUAUACACAGUAGAGACGGUACCUAACCAGAAAGCAACGGCUAACUACGUG